This 447-nucleotide ribosomal RNA is filed under the name uncultured bacterium. RNAcentral's name for it is "partial 16S ribosomal RNA". It matches the Rfam family "Bacterial small subunit ribosomal RNA", at positions 330 to 792 of the family's 1533-position model. The record is from RNAcentral.
ACCAGACUCCUACGGGAGGCAGCAGUGGGGAAUAUUGGGCAAUGGGCGCAAGCCUGACCCAGCAACGCCGCGUGAAGGAAGAAGGCUUUCGGGUUGUAAACUUCUUUUAAGAGGGAAGAGAAGAAGACGGUACCUCUUGAAUAAGCCACGGCUAACUACGUGCCAGCAGCCGCGGUAAUACGUAGGUGGCAAGCGUUGUCCGGAUUUACUGGGUGUAAAGGGCGUGCAGCCGGGCUGACAAGUCAGAUGUGAAAACCCGCGGCUCAACCGCGGAACUGCAUUUGAAACUGUUGGUCUUGAGUAUCGGAGAGGCAGGCGGAAUUCCUAGUGUAGCGGUGAAAUGCGUAGAUAUUAGGAGGAACACCAGUGGCGAAGGCGGCCUGCUGGACGACAACUGACGGUGAGGCGCGAAAGCGUGGGGAGCAAACAGGAUUAGAUACCCCAGUA